This 148-nucleotide ribosomal RNA is filed under the name uncultured bacterium. RNAcentral describes it as "partial 16S ribosomal RNA". It matches the Rfam family "Bacterial small subunit ribosomal RNA", at positions 366 to 526 of the family's 1533-position model. The record is from RNAcentral.
UCGUCGUGGGCGCAGCCUGAUGCAGCGACGCCGCGUGAGGGAUGACGGCCUUCGGGUUGUAAACCUCUUUCAGUAGGGAAGAAGCGAGAGUGACGGUACCUGCAGAAGAAGCGCCGGCUAACUACGUGCCAGCAGCCGCGGUAAUGAC